GGGUCGUUAGCUCAGUUGGUAGAGCAGUUGACUUUUAAUCAAUUGGUCGCAGGUUCGAAUCCCGUCAUCACCCACCA
This 77-nucleotide transfer RNA is filed under the name Escherichia coli. RNAcentral describes it as "tRNA-Lys". It matches the Rfam family "tRNA". From Rfam's summary of the family: Transfer RNA (tRNA) molecules are approximately 80 nucleotides in length. Their secondary structure includes four short double-helical elements and three loops (D, anti-codon, and T loops). The record is from RNAcentral. Lineage: Bacteria; Pseudomonadati; Pseudomonadota; Gammaproteobacteria; Enterobacterales; Enterobacteriaceae.